RNAcentral lists this ribosomal RNA (1246 nucleotides) under metagenome. RNAcentral describes it as "bacterial LSU rRNA". It matches the Rfam family "Bacterial large subunit ribosomal RNA", at positions 1635 to 2874 of the family's 2925-position model. The record is from RNAcentral.
AAUACGACCGUACCGCAAACCGACACUGGUGCGCGAGAUGAGUAUUCUAAGGCGCUUGAGAGAACUCAGGAGAAGGAACUCGGCAAAUUGACACCGUAACUUCGGAAGAAGGUGUGCCCUAUUAGUGUGUAGUGAACAACGAAGCAUGAAUGGGUUGCAAAAAAUCGGUGGCUGCGACUGUUUAUUAAAAACACAGCACUCUGCAAACACGAAAGUGGACGUAUAGGGUGUGACGCCUGCCCGGUGCUGGAAGAUUAAAUGAUGGGGUGCAAGCUCUUGAUUGAAGUCCCAGUAAACGGCGGCCGUAACGAUAACGGUCCUAAGGUAGCGAAAUUCCUUGUCGGGUAAGUUCCGACCUGCACGAAUGGCGUAACGAUGGCCACACUGUCUCCUCCUGAGACUCAGCGAAGUUGAAAUGUUUGUGAUGAUGCAAUCUCCCCGCGGAAAGACGGAAAGACCCCAUGAACCUUUACUGUAGCUUUGUAUUGGACUUUGAACAGAUCUGUGUAGGAUAGGUGGGAGGCUUUGAAGCAGGGUCGCUAGAUCUUGUGGAGCCAACGUUGAAAUACCACCCUGGUGUGUUUGAGGUUCUAACCUAGGUCCAUUAUCUGGAUCGGGGACAGUGCAUGGUAGGCAGUUUGACUGGGGCGGUCUCCUCCCAAAGCGUAACGGAGGAGUUCGAAGGUACGCUAGUUACGGUCGGACAUCGUGACGAUAGUGCAAUGGCAUAAGCGUGCUUAACUGCGAGACUGACAAGUCGAGCAGAUGCGAAAGCAGGACAUAGUGAUCCGGUGGUUCUGUAUGGAAGGGCCAUCGCUCAACGGAUAAAAGGUACUCUGGGAUAACAGGCUGAUACCGCCCAAGAGUUCAUAUCGACGGCGGUGUUUGGCACCUCGAUGUCGGCUCAUCUCAUCCUGGGGCUGUAGCCGGUCCCAAGGGUAUGGCUGUUCGCCAUUUAAAGAGGUACGUGAGCUGGGUUUAAAACGUCGUGAGACAGUUUGGUCCCUAUCUUCCGUGGGCGCUGCAGAUUUGAGGAAGCCUGCUCCUAGUACGAGAGGACCGGAGUGGACACACCUCUGGUGUAUCGGUUGUCACGCCAGUGGCAUUGCCGAGUAGCUAAGUGUGGAAGAGAUAACCGCUGAAAGCAUCUAAGCGGGAAACUCGUUUCAAGAUGAGAUCUGCCGGGGCCUUGAGCCCCCUAAAGAGUCGUUCAAGACCAGGACGUUGAUAGGUCAGGUGUGGAAGC